This 165-nucleotide ribosomal RNA is filed under the name uncultured bacterium. RNAcentral's name for it is "partial 16S ribosomal RNA". It matches the Rfam family "Bacterial small subunit ribosomal RNA", at positions 338 to 495 of the family's 1533-position model. The record is from RNAcentral.
CCUACGGGAGGCAGCAGUGGGGAAUUUUGGACAAUGGGCGCAAGCCUGAUCCAGCAAUGCCGCGUGCAGGAUGAAGGCCUUCGGGUUGUAAACUGCUUUUGUACGGAACGAAACGGUCUGCCCUAAUACGGUGGGCUAAUGACGGUACCGUAAGAAUAAGCCCCG